Molecule: long non-coding RNA, 524 nt
Organism: Oncorhynchus keta (chum salmon)
Lineage: Eukaryota; Metazoa; Chordata; Actinopteri; Salmoniformes; Salmonidae
Exons: 3
Source: RefSeq, a predicted model, not a curated record
UCAGGAACAGGCUAAUGUGGAUUACUCAGGAACAGGCUAAUGUGGAUUACUCAGGAACAGGUUAAUGUUAGUGGAUUACUCAGGAACAGGUUAAUGUUAGUGGAUUACUCAGGAACAGGUUAAUGUUAGUGGAUUACUCAGGAACAGGUUAAUGUUAAUGUGGAUUACUCAGGAACAGGUUAAAGUGGAUUACUCAGGAACAGGUUAAAGUGGAUUACUCAGGAACAGGUUAAUGUGGAUUACUCAGGGACAGGUUAAUGUUAAAGUGGAUUACUCAGGAACAGGUUAAUGUUAAAGUGGAUUACUCAGGAACAGGUUAAUGUGGAUUACUCAGGAACAGGUUAAUGUUAAAGUGGAUUACUCAGGAACAGGUUAAAGUGGAUUACUCAGGAACAGGUUAAUGUUAAAGUGGAUUACUCAGGAACAGGUUAAUGUUAAUGUGGAUUACUCAGGAACAGGUUAAUGUGGAUUACUCAGGAACAGGUUAAUGUGGAUUACUCAGGAACAGGUUAAUGUGGAUUACU